This 497-nucleotide long non-coding RNA is filed under the name Mus spicilegus (steppe mouse). RNAcentral describes it as "lncRNA (ENSMSIG00000029726.1)". The record is from RNAcentral. Lineage: Eukaryota; Metazoa; Chordata; Mammalia; Rodentia; Muridae.
GGCGGGUGUAUUCAUUGCACCAAUGGCUGGCAGUUCUCUUGUGCCAUGGUGGCCCAAAUGUCAGUCAACCAGACAUGUCUUCUGAGAGGUGAAGAAGUCACAUGUGGUGAAUAUAUUAUCAUCAGAAUGCGGAGCAAUGAAAUGUAAACAGAUAGGAAUCAUCACUAAAGCUCCAACUGCAGCCUCUGGGUGCCAUAGCUUUUGCACCAUCCAUUUGCACCAUCUCUGCAGAUGUCUGCAUCAUCUGUAUUGACCCGCUCCCCAGAUUAAUACUGAAGCACUGCAAUUUCUUGAGGAUUAUCCACCUAGGAGGAAAUGAUACGCUGGCCCAUCCAUAGUAGUCAAGGUAUGUUCAACAUCAAGAGAAGGUUUGCUGUGUAACAGGUAAGAACAGGUUUAAAAGUGUGGCUUUAUAUGAUAGCAAAGCACAAAUAUUCAUAAGUUUUACUGUAGUGUUCACAGUAGUCAAAAUAAAGAAUUAGCCCAGAUGUCUGUCA